RNAcentral lists this ribosomal RNA (726 nucleotides) under uncultured Staphylococcus sp. RNAcentral describes it as "SSU rRNA". It matches the Rfam family "Bacterial small subunit ribosomal RNA", at positions 151 to 863 of the family's 1533-position model. The record is from RNAcentral. Lineage: Bacteria; Bacillati; Bacillota; Bacilli; Caryophanales; Staphylococcaceae.
GGGAAACCGGAGCUAAUACCGGAUAAUAUAUUGAACCGCAUGGUUCAAUAGUGAAAGACGGUUUUGCUGUCACUUAUAGAUGGAUCCGCGCCGCAUUAGCUAGUUGGUAAGGUAACGGCUUACCAAGGCGACGAUGCGUAGCCGACCUGAGAGGGUGAUCGGCCACACUGGAACUGAGACACGGUCCAGACUCCUACGGGAGGCAGCAGUAGGGAAUCUUCCGCAAUGGGCGAAAGCCUGACGGAGCAACGCCGCGUGAGUGAUGAAGGUCUUCGGAUCGUAAAACUCUGUUAUUAGGGAAGAACAAAUGUGUAAGUAACUAUGCACGUCUUGACGGUACCUAAUCAGAAAGCCACGGCUAACUACGUGCCAGCAGCCGCGGUAAUACGUAGGUGGCAAGCGUUAUCCGGAAUUAUUGGGCGUAAAGCGCGCGUAGGCGGUUUUUUAAGUCUGAUGUGAAAGCCCACGGCUCAACCGUGGAGGGUCAUUGGAAACUGGAAAACUUGAGUGCAGAAGAGGAAAGUGGAAUUCCAUGUGUAGCGGUGAAAUGCGCAGAGAUAUGGAGGAACACCAGUGGCGAAGGCGACUUUCUGGUCUGUAACUGACGCUGAUGUGCGAAAGCGUGGGGAUCAAACAGGAUUAGAUACCCUGGUAGUCCACGCCGUAAACGAUGAGUGCUAAGUGUUAGGGGGUUUCCGCCCCUUAGUGCUGCAGCUAACGCAUUAA